CACUUUUAUACCUUUCAAUUCUCGGGGCUUAGCUAGAAUCGGGCCAUUUAGACAUUGUAUCCUAUAUGCAUGUAUAUUAUAUUAAACACUUGUGACUGGUCCAACGUGAUGUCACACCGCUUCAAACUGUAAUCUAAAGCAGGAAUCGAACCCACAAUUGUCACAAGUUAGGAGGCUAAGUCCGCGGCAACGGCGACACCGCAAUCUGACAAGAUGUACAUUGUGCAUUAUUUUAAGAUGAAUAACAAUAGAGUGAUAGAUACUCCUCAAGAGAUAACGGUGCAUGUAGAUCCUACGUAUACGGCGCUGGUGUGUUUGUUAAACGUACGUCCAGUGGUAUAAUUAUAACGAGCCCGUGGCAAACUAAUCGAAUGGGGCCUCUACAUGAAAAAUCUAUACCUAUAUUUUUUUACGGCGAACUCUUCUUUUGAUUCCAAUACACAAAAAUCUAAGUACUUAGAUUUUACAAUAUUUUAGGGGACCUUAAAGCCUGGAGCGUAACAUUUUGCUAGUCAUGCUGAUGCUACCCUAUAGUUACGGUACUGUAUAACAGUAUACAGCUUACUAUAUUGUUUACAAAGCAAGAAUAGUGAGAGUGUAAUAAUGUUAUGCCCCAAUUUUUUUUUAAGAAGGUAAUACUAGUAAUAAUAUUAUGUAUUUACUUAUUAGUAUCCACAUAAAAUAAGUCAUGAUUUACUGUAGUGUACUGUAACUAAUACUGAUAAUUUUCCGUUCAAAAAUAUUUAGUUUUAAUAUUUUUAUAGUUGUAUACUUAAAUAUAUACGGAACCUGG
Long non-coding RNA from Manduca sexta (tobacco hornworm), 793 nucleotides. RefSeq lists it as uncharacterized. The record is from RefSeq and is a predicted model, not a curated record. Lineage: Eukaryota; Metazoa; Arthropoda; Insecta; Lepidoptera; Sphingidae. The transcript is spliced from 2 exons.